CUACGGGGUGCAGCAGUGGGGAAUAUUGGACAAUGGGCGCAAGCCUGAUCCAGCAAUGCCGCGUGAGUGAAGACGGCCUUAGGGUUGUAAAACUCUUUCGCUAGGGAAGAUAAUGACUGUACCUAGUAAAGAAGUCCCGGCUAACUCCGUGCCAGCAGCCGCGGUAAUACGGAGGGGACUAGCGUUGUUCGGAAUUACUGGGCGUAAAGAGUUCGUAGGCGGACUGACAAGUUAGAGGUGAGAUCCCAGGGCUCAACCCUGGAACUGCCUUUAAAACUGUCAGUCUGGAGACCGGAAGAGGUUAGGGGAAUACCUAGUGUAGAGGUGAAAUUCGUAGAUAUUAGGUGGAACACCAGUGGCGAAGGCGCCUAACUGGUCCGGUACUGACGCUGAGGAACGAAAGCGUGGGGAGCAAACAGGAUUAGAUACCCGCGUAGUC
This 439-nucleotide ribosomal RNA is filed under the name uncultured bacterium. Its description in RNAcentral is "partial 16S ribosomal RNA". It matches the Rfam family "Bacterial small subunit ribosomal RNA", at positions 339 to 795 of the family's 1533-position model. The record is from RNAcentral.